GGGGAUUCUCGGGUGAUGCACCCCAGAAUCGGGCUCCCUCCUCUCUGGUUCUGGGUGCAUCACCCAAGAACCCCA
Non-coding RNA from Myotis davidii, 75 nucleotides. NCBI's taxonomy places the organism in Eukaryota, Metazoa, Chordata, Mammalia, Chiroptera, Vespertilionidae. The record is from Rfam.